AUUGAACGCUGGCGGCAGGCCUAACACAUGCAAGUCGAGCGGAUGAAGGGAGCUUGCUCCUGGAUUCAGCGGCGGACGGGUGAGUAAUGCCUAGGAAUCUGCCUGGUAGUGGGGGAUAACGUCCGGAAACGGGCGCUAAUACCGCAUACGUCCUGAGGGAGAAAGUGGGGGAUCUUCGGACCUCACGCUAUCAGAUGAGCCUAGGUCGGAUUAGCUAGUUGGUGGGGUAAAGGCCUACCAAGGCGACGAUCCGUAACUGGUCUGAGAGGAUGAUCAGUCACACUGGAACUGAGACACGGCCCAGACUCCUACGGGAGGCAGCAGUGGGGAAUAUUGGACAAUGGGCGAAAGCCUGAUCCAGGCAUGCCGCGUGUGUGAAGAAGGUCUUCGGAUUGUAAAGCACUGUAAGUUGGGAGGAAGGGCAGUAAGUUAAUACCUUGCUGUUUUGACGUUACCAACAGAAUAAGCACCGGCUAACUUCGUG
RNAcentral lists this ribosomal RNA (484 nucleotides) under uncultured bacterium. Its description in RNAcentral is "partial 16S ribosomal RNA". It matches the Rfam family "Bacterial small subunit ribosomal RNA", at positions 30 to 507 of the family's 1533-position model. The record is from RNAcentral.